GACGAACGCUGGCGGCGUGCUUAACACAUGCAAGUCGAGCGGUAAGGCCCUUUCGGGGGUACACGAGCGGCGAACGGGUGAGUAACACGUGGGUGACCUGCCCUUAGCUCUGGGAUAAGCCUGGGAAACUGGGUCUAAUACCGGAUAUGAUUCCAUGACGCAUGUUGUGGGGUGGAAAGCCUUGUGCGGCUAGGGGAUGGGCCCGCGGCCUAUCAGCUUGUUGGUGGGGUGAUGGCCUACCAAGGCGACGACGGGUAGCCGGCCUGAGAGGGCGACCGGCCACACUGGGACUGAGACACGGCCCAGACUCCUACGGGAGGCAGCAGUGGGGAAUCUUGCGCAAUGGGCGAAAGCCUGACGCAGCGACGCCGCGUGGGGAUGACGGCCUCGG
Molecule: ribosomal RNA, 391 nt
Filed under: uncultured bacterium
Lineage: Bacteria
Description: bacterial SSU rRNA
Rfam family: Bacterial small subunit ribosomal RNA
Source: RNAcentral